GGCUCAGAACGAACGCUGGCGGCAGGUCUUAGGCAUGCAAGUCGAACGGAUGACAAGGGAGCUUGCUCCUUGAAGUCAGUGGCGCACGAGUGAGUAACGCGUGGGAAACUGCCCUUCACUGGGGAAUAACGUUUGGAAACGAACGCUAAUACCGCAUACGCCCGCAAGGGGAAAGAUUUAUCGGUGAUGGAUGUGCCCGCGUUGGAUUAGCUAGUUGGUGGGGUAAUGGCCUACCAAGGCGAUGAUCCAUAGCUGGUCUGAGAGGACGAUCAGCCACGCUGGAACUGAGACACGGUCCAGACUCCUACGGGAGGCAGCAGCUAAGAAUAUUGGGCAAUGGAGGAAACUCUGACCCAGCCAUUGCCGCGUGAAUGAAGAAGGCCUUCGGGUUGUAAAGUUCUUUUAGUCAUGAAGAUGAUGACAGUAGUGACAGAAAAAGCACCGGCUAACUUCGUGCCAGCAGCAGC
RNAcentral lists this ribosomal RNA (467 nucleotides) under uncultured bacterium. Its description in RNAcentral is "bacterial SSU rRNA". It matches the Rfam family "Bacterial small subunit ribosomal RNA", at positions 21 to 518 of the family's 1533-position model. The record is from RNAcentral.